GACAGCCAGGAUGUUGGCUUAGAAGCAGCCAUCAUUUAAAGAAAGCGUAAUAGCUCACUGGUCGAGUCGGCCUGCGCGGAAGAUGUAACGGGGCUAAACCAUGCACCGAAGCUGCGGCAGCGACACUCAGGUGUUGUUGGGUAGGGGAGCGUUCUGUAAGCCUGUGAAGGUGGCCUGUGAGGGUUGCUGGAGGUAUCAGAAGUGCGAAUGCUGACAUAAGUAACGAUAAAGCGGGUGAAAAGCCCGCUCGCCGGAAGACCAAGGGUUCCUGUCCAACGUUAAUCGGGGCAGGGUGAGUCGACCCCUAAGGCGAGGCCGAAAGGCGUAGUCGAUGGGAAACGGGUUAAUAUUCCCGUACUUGGUGUUACUGCGAAGGGGGGACGGAGAAGGCUAUGUUGGCCGGGCGACGGUUGUCCCGGUUUAAGCGUGUAGGUGUGUGUUCCAGGUAAAUCCGGUUCACUUUAACACUGAGGCGUGAUGACGAGGCACUACGGUGCUGAAGCAACAAAUGCCCUGCUUCCAGGAAAAGCCUCUAAGCAUCAGGUAACAUCAAAUCGUACCCCAAACCGACACAGGUGGUCAGGUAGAGAAUACCAAGGCGCUUGAGAGAACUCGGGUGAAGGAACUAGGCAAAAUGGUGCCGUAACUUCGGGAGAAGGCACGCUGACACGUAGGUGAAGUGAUUUACUCAUGGAGCUGAAGUCAGUCGAAGAUACCAGCUGGCUGCAACUGUUUAUUAAAAACACAGCACUGUGCAAACACGAAAGUGGACGUAUACGGUGUGACGCCUGCCCGGUGCCGGAAGGUUAAUUGAUGGGGUCAGCGCAAGCGAAGCUCCUGAUCGAAGCCCCGGUAAACGGCGGCCGUAACUAUAACGGUCCUAAGGUAGCGAAAUUCCUUGUCGGGUAAGUUCCGACCUGCACGAAUGGCGUAAUGAUGGCCAGGCUGUCUCCACCCGAGACUCAGUGAAAUUGAACUCGCUGUGAAGAUGCAGUGUACCCGCGGCAAGACGGAAAGACCCCGUGAACCUUUACUAUAGCUUGACACUGAACAUUGAGCCUUGAUGUGUAGGAUAGGUGGGAGGCUUUGAAGUGUGGACGCCAGUCUGCAUGGAGCCGACCUUGAAAUACCACCCUUUAAUGUUUGAUGUUCUAACGUGGACCCGUAAUCCGGGUUGCGGACAGUGUCUGGUGGGUAGUUUGACUGGGGCGGUCUCCUCCUAAAGAGUAACGGAGGAGCACGAAGGUUGGCUAAUCCUGGUCGGACAUCAGGAGGUUAGUGCAAUGGCAUAAGC
Molecule: ribosomal RNA, 1294 nt
Filed under: Salmonella enterica subsp. enterica serovar Anatum
Lineage: Bacteria; Pseudomonadati; Pseudomonadota; Gammaproteobacteria; Enterobacterales; Enterobacteriaceae
Description: partial 23S ribosomal RNA
Rfam family: Bacterial large subunit ribosomal RNA
Source: RNAcentral